Long non-coding RNA from Eriocheir sinensis (Chinese mitten crab), 2294 nucleotides. RefSeq lists it as uncharacterized. Lineage: Eukaryota; Metazoa; Arthropoda; Malacostraca; Decapoda; Varunidae. The transcript is spliced from 3 exons. The record is from RefSeq and is a predicted model, not a curated record.
UUUUUUCUGCUUGUAGUGCCAGUAGGCUGUCUCGAGGGCCUCUUCGACAGCCCCAGCCCGUUAGUGUCACAGGCAAAUUUUGUUUAUAGUGGCAUGAUAACCAUUACACCACAAAAGAGUGAGGUUUAUUCCGAGGAGGGUGUAUGCAAAUAAAGGGGUGUAGAGCAGCUAGAGACCGCGGGGCAGAUGAUGCAUGUAGCUGCUUGACUUGCCCUAACAUCCUAUUUCCCAAUUGAACAUGUGGCAGGGACUUUGGGAAGCCCACGAGUGACAGUGACUUCACCAUUCUUACACUGCAGUCGUCUGGAAAUUACCCCAUAUGCAGCCUUGAAACAUUACUUUCUACUGAAUUAAUUAUGCUUCAGUGACCUCUGCAGGCAAUAAAAUUACAAAGGAAAUUAUCUUUGGGGGAAAAAAAUAAUGGCCGAAUCAAGUUGAGACUGUUGGAUAAGAAGAGAAAAAAAAAAAAGUAGCCAUGCCCAGAUGGAAUGUGCAGAUCUAGAGUGUCUGUUAGAGGUGCAUCAUUAGGUGGCUGCCUUGCGUGAUAAAGUGCCAUGUAGCCCUGUGGUCCGUUUUAUUAUUAUGUACUAGCCAGUAGUGUUGGAGGGGGCACAGUCUACUUGCUUUACACGUGGAUCAAUAAUAAUAGUAACUGUUGUCAGAUGUUCAAAAUAAUUUUGGUUUGCUAAUCCCCUCGAACUGUUGAAAUUAACCUAUGUUGAUUAAUUGACUGAUGGUUUAUUGUUGUAAAGCUACACGACAAAGAAGAGGAGGAACAUGCCAUCCCGGCCUCAAGGGCCAAUACAAAGUGUGAUCUGCAGCAAUACAAGAAACAUACGUAUACAAUAUUUAUAUCACUAUGCAGUGGAAAAAUUAAGUUAUCCAAUUUCACCCAGAUUUCGUAAUGAGCCUUCCAGUAAAGGACGAUUAUAGCCUACGUUGACCGCAGAUUUCGGUUUUAUCGUUGGCCUAUGAAUAUUGCGCGAAACUGCACUUACUGAACAAAACUUGAUAAACAAUAUAAUCGCUAGUAAAGUCAAUUCAUGAACUGCAAAAAUGCAUUUCAUGAUAAGAUGUCAAAAUCUCAAUAAUUGUAGUCACUCAAUCAGUCAGUCACUUAGUCAGCCAGUCACUUAGUCAGCCAGUCACUCAGUCAGUCAAUCAAUCAGUCAGUCACUCAGCCAGCCAGUCGGUCCUAAUUGUUCCACGAGUUCGAACACCAGCCGUUCCGAAGCCCAAUCCAAACCAACCGAACCGUGCGUGCGCAGCACUUAUACUUCCUUAAUUUCUUGGUGAAAUAUACUUAUUACUCAUUUCAUAUUAUUUUGGGCAUAGAUCUUACUACAAAUAGAUCAUUCUACGGUUGAGAGUUUUCUGCUCACUUCGAUGGUUGGGAUGUUGGCAGACACAGACGCCAUUAUCAGCUUGUGACAGCAACCACCCUCAAGAAACAGCUGUCUGGCAAGAGGUCCCUUUCCCACACUCCAGUUACAUCAUUAUAUAGCAAAAACUCUUGAACAUCCUUCGCAUUUGGAGAUGAUCUAGAGGCCGUGGUUCCAUGAUCUACCUACCCAGGCCCCUGAAUUACUGAAGAAGACAGCUACAGAAACAGGCGUGUUAGAAUCCACUGGUGUAGUGGGCCCCAUGUUCCUGCCAUGGCAGGUCUGGUGCUAGUAAAUUGUAUGGAGCACCUGGAGGCAUUAUUCAAUAAAUCACAGGUGACGGUAUAACAAGGCUGCCCUGCACACCACUCGAGGAAUUGAAGUUGCCUCCUAAUGGAUCACAGAUGGUCAGUGUAAUGUACAAACUAUGGCUAUCUUCUUAAGGUGAAUAUACGUAAGUCGUUUUAGCAUGUAUUAUGCAGUGAUCUACUCUUUCAUAACUGUCUUUCAUAAGUACAGAAAAAAACUCAUUUUUUAAUGUAAGACAAGAAGUAACAAAUAGUAACCAAAAAGUAUCUGAGAAUUACAAAGAUAUGAGCCAUGAUUAUGAAAUAUGAAAUUAACAAACAAGUGAUAUGAUAUACACUACAAAAAUAAAUGAUGAUAAUUCCCUGAAUAGCACACUAAAUGAUAUGCAUAAUUCUUAUACUAAACCUAACAACAAAAAUAACAAAAACCUUCAUAAGUGUACACACUACUUAUUUAUCAGUCAGUUCAACAGUUACUGCAGAGCUUCUUUGGAGGUCAGUGAUAAAUAACUUACCCUUUUAACGAUUAUGACUAUCAACUUUAAUCCUUAAUAACUUACUGAAACAGCAGAAUGGCACAUCAGUAUAAAGUAAAUGUGUAAUG